This 526-nucleotide ribosomal RNA is filed under the name uncultured bacterium. RNAcentral's name for it is "bacterial SSU rRNA". It matches the Rfam family "Bacterial small subunit ribosomal RNA", at positions 778 to 1303 of the family's 1533-position model. The record is from RNAcentral.
AAAGAUACCCAGGUAGUCCUGGCCCUAAACGAUGAAUGCUUGGUGUGGCGGGUAUCGAUCCCUGCCGUGCCGAAGCUAACGCAUUAAGCAUUCCGCCUGGGGAGUACGGUCGCAAGGCUGAAACUCGAAAGGAAUUGACGGGGGCCCGCACAAGCGGUGGAGCAUGUGGUUCAAUUCGACGCAACGCGAAGAACCUUACCCAGGCUUGAACAGCGAGUGACCAGUCCCGAAAGGGACCUUCCGCAAGGACACUCGUAGAGGUGCUGCAUGGCUGUCGUCAGCUCGUGUCGUGAGAUGUUGGGUUAAGUCCCGCAACGAGCGCAACCCUUGUCUGCUGUUGCCAUCACGUUAUGGUGGGCACUCUGCAGAGACUGCCGGUGAUAAACCGGAGGAAGGUGGGGAUGACGUCAAGUCAGCAUGGCCUUUAUGUCUGGGGCUACACACGUGCUACAAUGGCCGGUACAAACCGUCGCGAGCCCGCGAGGGGGAGCUAAUCGGAGAAAGCCGGUCUCAGUUCGGAUAGCGA